GAUGAAGAACGUAGCGAAAUGCGAUAAGUAGUGUGAAUUGCAGAAUUCAGUGAAUCAUCGAAUCUUUGAACGCACAUUGCGCCCGCUAGUAUUCUGGCGGGCAUGCCUGUUCGAGCGUCAUUUCAACCAUCAAGCCCUGUUUAGGCUUGUGUUGGGGCCCUGCGGUUGCCGCAGCCCCCUAAAUGCAGUGGCGGGCUCGUUGUCACUCCGAGCGCAGUAGCGUAUCUCGCUCUGGGCGUGGCGGCGGGUGCUAGCCGUGAAACACCCACUAAGGUUGACCUCGGAUAAGGUAGGAAUACCCGCUGAACUUAAGCAUAUCAAUAAGCGGAGGA
This 332-nucleotide unclassified non-coding RNA is filed under the name soil metagenome. RNAcentral's name for it is "partial contains 5.8S ribosomal RNA, internal transcribed spacer 2, and large subunit ribosomal RNA". The stretch from base 1 to 120 matches the Rfam family "5.8S ribosomal RNA", at positions 35 to 154 of the family's 154-position model. The record is from RNAcentral.